RNAcentral lists this transfer RNA (68 nucleotides) under Pletholax gracilis. RNAcentral's name for it is "tRNA-Ala". The record is from RNAcentral. Lineage: Eukaryota; Metazoa; Chordata; Lepidosauria; Squamata; Pygopodidae.
GAGGCUUUAGCUUAAUUAAAGUGUCUGAGUUGCAUUCAGGGGAUGCGCAAUAGAGUUGCGCAGGCCUU